Molecule: long non-coding RNA, 1104 nt
Organism: Dreissena polymorpha
Lineage: Eukaryota; Metazoa; Mollusca; Bivalvia; Myida; Dreissenidae
Exons: 2
Source: RefSeq, a predicted model, not a curated record
AAAGACUAGUAAACAGGUCGAUACAUCACAUUGAUCGUAAACAAAUUUUAUAUGGCCAUGCAUGUUUACAUUUGGAAUCAUGAUAGUUAAGCGUGGUUUACAUAAGUUACAAGUUUAGACUUACUUUUUUACCGAAGGCCGUGGCUUAAAACCGUUGAUAUAUAAAAUGAUGUCGGGAAUAUCCUUAGUUGCAACAGUUCCGUUUCUAUGGCACAUCUUAACUGCGUGUGGAAUAAUUUGGAAUCUCGAGUACACAGUCGUUUCGAAAUACUCGCUUCAGUGGUGGAUCGAAUGUAUUCUGGAGUGUUUUCGGUUGGGUCCUCGAAAUGGCGAAUUUUCAGAAUGGUGUGCCCUUGUUCAACUAUCUGCUGCAGUUGCCGCUCUUGGGCUGCACUUUGUGGGUGGCAAGCGCCCAAUGAAAGCGUGUUACACUGUCCUCCUCGCGCUCUAUGUUGUGACACAGGGAAGACACAUAUUGCUACGUAACGCGACAGAAACAUUUGGAUAUCUCUACAUCAACAUCGCAUCAUACGCCUUUCUGGUGCUGUACAGUGAUUUUCUGGACAAUCAAUUAGAGAAAAUGCAUAGGUGAUUUAUUACAGAUAUUUAUAACAAAUGUUAUGUAUUAAGUUGUUUCGCCAUAUCAUGUGCGGUACAUAAACAAUUGCAAUACAUCACUGCAUAUUGUGUGCUCUUGCAAAUUCAUCAUAAACUAUUGUAUGGGAUGCAUCAGGUUAGUAAAACAUUAACCGGUUAACCUAUGAAUGUAACCUGUAAAUUAAGCAUUUUAAUUAAAAAAAAAGUAAAAUGUUUAAGUAUAUUUUCGAAAAUGUCAAAUUGCUUUUACAUUACUUUCUGUUGAAACGGAAUUAAUUUAUUCUUGUUUACGUUUGUUCGUUCUAUAAAUGUAUUGUUAAUAACAUACUUUAAAUUUGCGAUUGUAUUUUUGAUUUUGUAUGUAAUUAUCCGUUCAUUAAAGCAUAUGGCCUAUUUUUGGUUUAUUUUUGGUGCUGUCGCUUACCGUCUCGUGUGUAAUUAUUGUGUUUCUUUGUUAAUUCAUUUUUAUUUUCCAAAUUUUGAAAUAAACUGAAUGCAAAAAUGUUA